GAUGAACGCUGGCGACGUGCCUAAUACAUGCAAGUCGAGCGAACAGACGAGGAGCUUGCUCCUCUGACGUUAGCGGCGGACGGGUGAGUAACACGUGGAUAACCUACCUAUAAGACUGGGAUAACUUCGGGAAACCGGAGCUAAUACCGGAUAAUAUAUUGAACCGCAUGGUUCAAUAGUGAAAGACGGUUUUGCUGUCACUUAUAGAUGGAUCCGCGCCGCAUUAGCUAGUUGGUAAGGUAACGGCUUACCAAGGCAACGAUGCGUAGCCGACCUGAGAGGGUGAUCGGCCACACUGGAACUGAGACACGGUCCAGACUCCUACGGGAGGCAGCAGUAGGGAAUCUUCCGCAAUGGGCGAAAGCCUGACGGAGCAACGCCGCGUGUGUGAUGAAGGUCUUCGGAUCGUAAAGCUCUGUUAUUAGGGAGGAACAAAUGUGUAAGUAACUAUGCACGUCUUGACGGUACCUAAUCAGAAAGCCACGGCUAACUACGUG
RNAcentral lists this ribosomal RNA (497 nucleotides) under uncultured bacterium. RNAcentral describes it as "partial 16S ribosomal RNA". It matches the Rfam family "Bacterial small subunit ribosomal RNA", at positions 28 to 507 of the family's 1533-position model. The record is from RNAcentral.